UUUUAUUUUAUUUUUUAUUUUUUAUCAGUUUAACUAUUCUUCUGUUAUUUGACUUAGCAAUCACCUAUUUUGAUUCCUGAAUAAUACUAAAAAAACUCAAGAACUCAUUGAAGCAACACAAUUUUUGUGAUUGGAUUAAUUGGUAUGGAUGUACUUGGUAUGAUUAAGAAAAACAUGGUGCUUUCUUGUUGUGAUAAUUAAUUGAUAAUUGAAAUUUAAUCCAAUUUCCUAUGAACAUAGUUAUUCUAUUGGCUUACAGAUAUAAAGAGAUUGCUUCUCUAAAAGCCAAAUCUGGCUCUAUUUCUUCAAAAUUUCAUACAAAUAAUUAUGGUGAUGGAUUUUAUUUUAUUUAUCUAUUUAUUUUUUUGUGUGUUAAUAAAAUGCUCUGUAAAAAUUUCAACAAAGUCUUUACUUAAUUUUUUUUUUCUUCUACUUAAAAUCAUCAUAAAUCUUUAAAGCAAAAUUUUGAUUUAAAAAAAUACCAAUUAUUAUUCUUUUAUAAUGCAGACAGUGAUCAAGUCUUUUUUGGGCAUAUCAAAAGGGCCAAUAACUCUUUGUCUAAGAUAUGCCAUAGUUCUCAGCUCCACACCAUUCUCCUGUUAGAAUAAAUUGUGUUGGUCCUUACACACAAGUGUUGAGUUAGAGUAGGGGAACUGGUUCUGAUCAAAAGCUCACUCAGUUGGGAAGCUCACACAAGAGUGGGUAAUAAUUCAUGGAGCUAUAGAUUAUUUUGCCUACUUCAAUGGAUCCAUCAGGUUCUAUCAAGCAUGAAGGUGGUCAAGAGAGUGCGGCACUCUUUUAUAACAAAACAAGAAGCCAUUGACGAAGAGUUUGCAAAUGUGUUGUAAAACUUAUAUGUUAACAACUUUGGUUGUUUGGAGACCCACAAUGCACAUGGUAGGGUGAGGUGGGAGUAAAGCUCCAUCUACUACUAUGGAAAUGCACAAACAAAUGCACAAAAUUCAUGUUUUGACUUUGAAAUGUGAUAUGCAUCUUUGGUAGAAAGCAUAACAAAGUACGAAACAACUCCCAUGUUGUAGCAUUCUACUGUAAGCGUUUUCUUCCUUCCUUCUUCAAAAAUGAAUUUGUUGGUGGGAAUUAUGCAAGCUUGCAAUGAACAAUAUGUGGUGUACGUAUACAUAUACAUAUAAUGAUACAUUAUCUAUUGAUAUUAUUACACCUCACAUGAUUUCAACAUGACUUAAAUCGACUAAAAAGUGCAUUUCUAUACUAAGGAUGCAUUAGGCAAU
This 1250-nucleotide long non-coding RNA is filed under the name Physcomitrium patens. RNAcentral describes it as "long non-coding RNA (PPAT_LNC002597)". Lineage: Eukaryota; Viridiplantae; Streptophyta; Bryopsida; Funariales; Funariaceae. The record is from RNAcentral.